UUUGAUGGCGACCGGCGCACGGGUGAGUAAUACGUAUCCAACCUGCCGAUGACUCGGGGAUAGCCUUUCGAAAGAAAGAUUAAUACCCGAUGGCAUAGUUCUUCCGCAUGGUAGAACUAUUAAAGAAUUUCGGUCAUCGAUGGGGAUGCGUUCCAUUAGGUUGUUGGCGGGGUAACGGCCCACCAAGCCUUCGAUGGAUAGGGGUUCUGAGAGGAAGGUCCCCCACAUUGGAACUGAGACACGGUCCAAACUCCUACGGGAGGCAGCAUG
This 270-nucleotide ribosomal RNA is filed under the name uncultured bacterium. RNAcentral's name for it is "partial 16S ribosomal RNA". It matches the Rfam family "Bacterial small subunit ribosomal RNA", at positions 84 to 353 of the family's 1533-position model. The record is from RNAcentral.